This 486-nucleotide ribosomal RNA is filed under the name uncultured bacterium. RNAcentral's name for it is "bacterial SSU rRNA". It matches the Rfam family "Bacterial small subunit ribosomal RNA", at positions 28 to 507 of the family's 1533-position model. The record is from RNAcentral.
GACGAACGCUGGCGGCGUGGAUUAGGCAUGCAAGUCGAACGGUAUCAUCCUUUCGGGGGUGAGAGAGUGGCGAACUGGUGAGUAACACGUAGGUUAUCUACCCUCAAGACGGGACAACCCAGGGAAACUUGGGCUAAUACCGGAUGUGAGCAACUUUUAGUUGUUUGAGAGGUGGCGUAAGCUGUCGCUUGGGGAUGAGCCUGCGUCCUAUUAGUUAGUUGGUGAGGUAACGGCUCACCUAGGCAAUGAUAGGUAGGCGGCCUUAACGGGUGGUCGCCCACACUGGGAUUGAGAUACGGCCCAGACUCCUACGGGAGGCAGCAGUCGAGAAUAGUCUACAAUGGUCGGAAGACUGAUAGUGCGACGCCGCGUGAACGAUGAAUCCCUUCGGGGUGUAAAGUUCUUUUAUAUGUGAGCAGUGCUUCUUAUAUUAACAGUAUGGGGAGAGAGAUAUUAGCAUAUGAAUAAGCAACGGCUAACUCCGUG